This 264-nucleotide unclassified non-coding RNA is filed under the name fungal sp. Its description in RNAcentral is "partial internal transcribed spacer region". The stretch from base 1 to 46 matches the Rfam family "Eukaryotic small subunit ribosomal RNA", at positions 1786 to 1831 of the family's 1831-position model. Lineage: Eukaryota; Fungi. The record is from RNAcentral.
AAGUCGUAACAAGGUUUCCGUAGGUGAACCUGCGGAAGGAUCAUUAUUGAAUGAACAUGGAGUUGGUUGUUGCUGGCCCCUUAAUUGGGGCAUGUGCACACCUCCUCUAUUCAUCCACACACACCUGUGAACUUGUGAGACGGAUAGUAGCCCUCUAGGGGGCGAGGUCCGUCUGCUAUACAUAAACUCCAGUAUAUAAAUUUGAAUGUCAUUUGAUGUAACACAUCUAUAAACUAAGUUUCAACAACGGAUCUCUUGGCUCUC